ACAUCUAAUACAAACAUCUAAACGCUCACAACUAAUCUCUAAUUGCCAAACAGGGCUAAAGGGAAAGAAAAUAGAAAGCAUACAUAAUUUAUACAUAUUCUAAACCAGAUUCGAUUCCAAAUUUUGGAUAUAAUCACCUCAACUGCAGUAUGAGUAUUAUAUAUAUCAGGCACAAGAUAUCUGCAGAAACCAAAACUAGAGACCUAGAAUCAGAUAGGUGCAAUCAAGACAACUUCUGAUCAAAUGAUUAAUAAUGGGAGCACGGUUGCAGCAGGACCGUGGGGAGGCCGAAACGGGUUUAAAUGGGAUGAUGGAGUUUAUUCUGGUGUAAGGCAAGUAGUGAUCUCCUCAAGCUCACAUGGAAUUCACUUCAUACAGUUUGAGUAUGACAAGAAUGGUCACACUGUUUGGUCUGACAAGCAUGGUGGCAACUCUGGUACCAGGACUGACCAGAUCAAGCUUGACUACCCUGCUCAAUUCCUAGUAUCAAUAAGUGGAUACUGUGGUUCUGUUACACUAGGUGGCCCAGUGAUUGUUCGAUCACUUCUGCUAGAAACCAGCAGGAAAACUUUCGGACCGUUUGGCAUUGAACAAGGAGCUCCUUUUUCACUUCCUGUAAAUGGUCAAAUGAUAGUGGGCUUCCAUGGAUGGAGGAGUAACUACCUUGAUUCCAUUGGAGUUUAUGUAAAGCCUCUCGGCAUGCAAACAAAAUCUUUGGAGACACACAAGAUGAUCCCUAGGAAUAGCAUGAAAGUCCUGUCUCUUGGACCAUGGGGAGGGGAAGGUGGAAUUGUGUUCGAUGAUGGGAUAUAUGCAGGGGUACGGGAAGUGCAUAUAACGAGAUCAGGAGGUUUGGUGUCCAUCCGAGUAUGUUAUGAUCAAAAUGGAAGGAUGGUUUGGGGACACAAGAGUGGUGGUAGUGGAGGACUCAAGCUUGAUAAGAUUGUUUUCGACUAUCCCUAUGAAGUAUUGACUCAUAUAACGGGCUAUUAUGGAUCUACAAUGUUGCGAGGACCUACAAUCGUCAAAUCAAUUACUUUUCACACCAACAAAAGGAGUUAUGGACCCUUUGGAGAUCAACAAGGAAUAUCAUUUUCCUCGGGCUCAAUAGGUGCAAUUGUUGGUUUUCAUGGCAGAAAUGGAUAUUUUGUGGACAGUAUUGGAGUCCAUGUACUUGAAAGCAAGCCAGUGAUUGCUCAGCCGGUCAUUGCUCAGCCAGUCAUCGACCAGCCAGUCAUCGCCCAUCCUUAUCAUCAUGAUCCUUAUAACAAGCCUAGCUUAAAAUCUUCUGAGGUAGCAUGGGGAGUGCCACUUCAAAGACAACUUUCAACACUCGAUGAAUCAGGCCCAUGGGGUGGUGAAGAUGGUAAGCCUUGGGAUGAUGGAAUACACACUGGUGUUAAGAAAAUUAUCCUAACAAGAGGAGAUGCUAUUUGCUCAAUUCAAGUUCAGUAUGAUCAAAAUGGCCACUCUGUCUGGUCUGCUCCACAUGGAAUUCCCUACGACACUUGCACCUACCAUAUAAAUUUUGAUUACCCAUAUGAAGUGCUUACAAGCAUCAGUGGAAGCUACUACUACUUAGCUGGAGAUAUGCAGAAAAGGGUUGUUAAAUCUCUCACUUUCCAUACCAACAAGGCAAAAUAUGGACCAUAUGGUAAAGCCGUGGGCACAAUUUUUUCUUCGGCGAAUAAUGAAGGUAAAAUUGCUGGCUUCCAUGGAAGGAGUGGCACUUUCUUGGAUGCUAUCGGAAUCCAUAUGCAACAUUGGGUGCGCGACGAAGUGCCACAACAUCCGUAUCCUCCUGAGAGAGGAGUCUUUAGAAAUCUGCUUCACAAAAUUUACAGAAGUAAUUACAGUGGAAGUGAAGGGAAGUACAUAGCAGUAGGACCGUGGGGCGGCCAAAGUGGAUUGCGAUGGGAUGAUGGAGUUUAUUCCGGCGUAAGGCAAAUAGUGAUCUCCACCAGUUCAUCUGGAAUCCAUUCCAUACAGUUUGAGUAUGAUAAGAAUGGUCAUUCUAUUUGGUCUGACAAGCAUGGGGGAAACACUGGUACCAGGACUGAUCAGAUCAAGCUUGACUACCCAACUCAAUUCCUAGUCUCAAUUAGCGGAUACUGUGGUUCGAUUUCUGAAGGUGGUUCAGUAAUUGUUCGAUCACUUUCCUUUGAAACCAACAGGAAGAAAUAUGGACCUUUUGGCAUUGAAAAAGGAGCUCCUUUCUCACUUCCUGUAAAUGGUGAGAUGAUAGUGGGUUUCCAUGGAUGGAAGAGUAACUACCUUGAUUCUAUUGGGAUUUAUGUAAAGCCUACCCUCCAAACUAGACCUUCAGAUAUGCACAACAAGAUGAUCCCUACAAUAUCUUUUACUGAUGUUAAUAGAGGAGUUAUUGGUGGUGGCAAGAAAGUCCUGUCACUUGGACCAUGGGGUGGAGAUGGCGGAAAGGUAUUCGAUGAUGGGAUUAACUCAGGAGUAAGAGAAGUGCAUGUAAAGAGAACAGGAGGGUUGGUAUCGAUUCGAGUUUGUUAUGAUCAAAAUGGGAGGGUUGUUUGGGGGAACAAGAAUGGUGGAUCAGGAGGACUCAAGCUUGAUAAGAUUGUUUUUGACUAUCCCUAUGAAGUAUUGAAUCAUAUAACAGGUUACUAUCAAUCGACGUUUCUACGAGGACCUACAGUCAUCAAAUCACUUACAUUCCAUACCAACAAAAGGAGCUAUGGACCAUUUGGAGAUCAACAAGGCUUCUCCUUCUCCUCUGGCUCAUUAGGUCCAAUUGUUGGUUUUCAUGGCAAAAAUGGAUAUUUUGUGGAUUGCCUGGGAGUCCAUGUACUCGAAACCAAACCAUUCCUCCCUCACCCUCAUCCCCAUCCUUUUGACAUGUCCGGCUUAAAAAACUCUGAGGUAGUAUGGGGAGUGCCAAGACAAGAUACUUCUCUCUAUGAAACAGGGCCAUGGGGAGGUGAAGGAGGUAGGCCUUGGGAUGAUGGACUACAUACUGGGGUGAAGCAAAUUCGUCUAACAAGAGGAGAUGCUAUUUGCUCAAUACAAUUUCUAUAUGUUCAAAAUGACCGCUCUGUUUGGAGCACUAUACAUGGAAUUGCUAGCAACAUUAACACCUACCAUAUAAAGAUUGAUUACCCAUACGAGUUUCUUACAAGUAUUAGUGGAUGCUAGGAUAUCCCAAAAAUUGGAGAUAUGCAAAGAAGGGUAAUAAGAUCUCUGACCUUUUAUACAAAUAAGGCAAAAUAUGGACCAUAUGGGAAAGCUAUAGGCACAUAUUUUUCUUCGGCGAAUCGAGAAGGUAAAGUUAUUGGCUUCCAUGGAAGAAGUGAUACAUACUUGGAUGCCAUAGGAGUCCAUAUGCAACAUUGGGUGAGCGACGAACUGUCCCGCCAUUCCAAUCAUCCUGAGAGAGGAAGCAUCGGAACUUUGCUGCACAACCUUUACAAAUGAUGUCCGUGAAACUAUGGCUCCGUUUGGUAGGGCGUAAAACGUUUUUGUGGAAAACUGUUUUUUGUUUGGUUGGCAAAAGAGUGUAAAACUAUUUUCCCUUGGGAUAUGGAAAACCAUUUUCCCUUCAGUUUUCCUUCUCUCUUAUACAAUCCUCUCACUACCUUCUUACUUUCCCUUUCAUUUUCCUUUCAUUUCAUCAUUUUUCUUACAUGAAACCAAACAACGGAAAACUAAUUUUGGAUUUGUGUUUUACAUUGUAAAUUGUUUUCCAUGAAAAUCAUUUUACACCAAAAAUGUUUUACGCUCUACCAACGGAACCUAUAUAAGCUUCAUGCACGUAAUCUAUCUUAGUAGUGAGUAUACAUAAACUUCAAGUGUGGAACAAUAUGUGUAAGGGUUCUUAAGAUGUUUAUUGUCUAAUUAGUGAACUCUUUGUUAUCAGAGUUGUAUUGUAUUGUAUUGAUCAUCUGUGAUUGGCUUUUUAAGACUCAUACGUUAAAUAAAAGUUCAUAAUGUUUUGGGUUUU
RNA transcript from Beta vulgaris subsp. vulgaris (sugar beet), 3970 nucleotides. It is a transcript of the gene named jacalin-related lectin 3, with no coding region annotated. The transcript is spliced from 13 exons. The record is from RefSeq and is a predicted model, not a curated record. Lineage: Eukaryota; Viridiplantae; Streptophyta; Magnoliopsida; Caryophyllales; Amaranthaceae.